AUGCAAUGCUUCUCAUUUGAUCACUGAAGUUAAGCAACGUUUGGCCUAGUCAGUACUUAGAUGAGUGACCAUUUUGGAACAUCAGGUGCUGUAAG
Molecule: non-coding RNA, 95 nt
Organism: Acanthosepion pharaonis
Lineage: Eukaryota; Metazoa; Mollusca; Cephalopoda; Sepiida; Sepiidae
Source: the annotation of a GenBank genome assembly